AGUAGUAAGGGGGUGAGGCAAGGAGAUUCCAUAUCUCCCUUUCUCUUUAAUCUAGCGGCUGAAUGCCUUUCGAAAAUGAUUUUCAAUGCCCAGAAAAAUAAUUUGUUUAAAGGGCUGGCAGCAGACCUCAUUCCAAAUGGAGUUGCUGUCUUGCAGUACGCAGAUGAUACUGUUCUUUGCAUUGAGAAUGAUAUAGAUAAAGCUGUUAAUCUCAAACUUCUGCUAUACUUGUUUGAACUUAUGUCUGGCUUGAAAAUCAAUUUUCUUAAAAGUGAAGUGCUGUGUGUGUGUGUCAAAUAG
This 300-nucleotide ribosomal RNA is filed under the name Triticum aestivum (bread wheat). RNAcentral describes it as "partial small subunit ribosomal RNA". Lineage: Eukaryota; Viridiplantae; Streptophyta; Magnoliopsida; Poales; Poaceae. The record is from RNAcentral.